GAGGAAUAUUGGACAAUGGAGGAAACUCUGAUCCAGCCAUGCCGCGUGAGUGACGAAGGCCUUCGGGUUGUAAAACUCUUUAAGUGGGGAAGAUAAUGACGGUACCCACAGAAUAAGCACCGGCUAACUUCGUGCCAGCAGCCGCGGUAAUACGAAGGGUGCUAGCGUUACUCGGAAUCACUGGGCGUAAAGCGUGCGUAGGCGGAAAUAUAAGUCAGAGGUGAAAUCCCGGAGCUUAACUUCGGAAUUGCCUUUGAAACUGUAUUUCUUGAGUAUGGUAGAGGAUGGUGGAAUUCCUAGUGUAGAGGUGAAAUUCGUAGAUAUUAGGAGGAACACCGGUGGCGAAGGCGGCCAUCUGGGCCAUCACUGACGCUGAGGCACGAAAGCGUGGGUAGCAAAC
This 400-nucleotide ribosomal RNA is filed under the name uncultured bacterium. Its description in RNAcentral is "bacterial SSU rRNA". It matches the Rfam family "Bacterial small subunit ribosomal RNA", at positions 356 to 773 of the family's 1533-position model. The record is from RNAcentral.